This 428-nucleotide ribosomal RNA is filed under the name Acidobacteriota bacterium. Its description in RNAcentral is "Acidobacteria bacterium partial 16S ribosomal RNA". It matches the Rfam family "Bacterial small subunit ribosomal RNA", at positions 355 to 776 of the family's 1533-position model. The record is from RNAcentral. Lineage: Bacteria; Pseudomonadati; Acidobacteriota.
UGGGGAAUUUUGGACAAUGGGGGAAACCCUGAUCCAGCCAUCCCGCGUGUGCGAUGAAGGCCUUCGGGUUGUAAAGCACUUUUGGCAGGAAAGAAACGUCAUGGGUUAAUACCCCGUGAAACUGACGGUACCUGCAGAAUAAGCACCGGCUAACUACGUGCCAGCAGCCGCGGUAAUACGUAGGGUGCAAGCGUUAAUCGGAAUUACUGGGCGUAAAGCGUGCGCAGGCGGUUCGGAAAGAAAGAUGUGAAAUCCCAGAGCUCAACUUUGGAACUGCAUUUUAACUACCGGGCUAGAGUGUGUCAGAGGGAGGUGGAAUUCCGCGUGUAGCAGUGAAAUGCGUAGAUAUGCGGAGGAACACCGAUGGCGAAGGCAGCCUCCUGGGAUAACACUGACGCUCAUGCACGAAAGCGUGGGGAGCAAACAGG